Molecule: long non-coding RNA, 770 nt
Filed under: Cucumis sativus (cucumber)
Lineage: Eukaryota; Viridiplantae; Streptophyta; Magnoliopsida; Cucurbitales; Cucurbitaceae
Description: long non-coding RNA (CSAT_LNC001448)
Source: RNAcentral
AAAGAGAAGAAUUAAAAAGUUGAAACACUGCCAAACUAGCUACGCGAGUAGAAGAAGAGGAGAAACAUAUGGAUUUUGGAUUUCUAAGUUGUGUGAGUGUUUUCUUCAAAAGUAUUCAAUAUGUUUGAAAGGUUUUCAUUAAAGUCUUUAUUGAUUGAAUAAUGAUUUCAAUUUAAAUGUUUGUAAAGAGAUUUAUUUGAAAAGCUUAUGCUAUGCUUUAAAGCAUGUUUUAGAUGAUGCAAAUGAUUGUGGAAUGACGUUUAAACCAUUAGUCUUCUUCCUAUUAUUGAGCUAACUGUUAUGUGCACAUAAAGGGUAAACGAAGUCAAGUAAAAAGAUGUGCAUGGUGAAAUUAGGCGAGACAAUAUAUAAAAGAUGUGUAUUGCGUCUCGGCUUGAGCAACAAGGAGUGGAUCAGAAUAUUCUCGGAUGCGAACAAUGAAAAGGUCGUCUUAGUAGUCUAAACGCGGGAAGAUGAGUCUUUGCGUAGAGAAUGAUUUGGGUCAUUGAUGAAUGGAAUGACUUGGCUGAUGAUUAUGUAAAAAGUAUAUUUGAGUGAUUUGAAAUGUUAUGUUAAAGUGAUUUGAUGUGAAAAUUGAUAGUUACGAGAGAUAUUUAGCAAAAAGGAUUUCUUGAAAACCUCACUAAGUAUUUUGACUUAUGUUUUUAAGCUUUCAUUUUCAGGUUCAAGGCGUUAAGGCCAAAUAGGUAAAGAUUAAGAACCUGCUACGCGAGAAGAGUUGCCAAGCGUUUUAGUUAAUUGUUCAAGGG